GUCUUUGGCCAUCUAAGCUGAUGUGGCAAUAUGGUUUAGGAGGGAAUCCAUUCUCAAUACACUAAAUCUUUAAUCCACGCGGGAUCCGUUUUUGUUCGGGUCAUUUGAUACCCGUGUUUUCGGAUAUAUAUAAAAUCCACAGAGACAACUUUCUUUCCUAUUCUCCCUGUAAACCCUAACCAAAAACUUCAUCGCCGCUUUCAUUUUUGUGGCAAUCAGAGGUAACAUAGUUGGAUUCAAGCGAUGUUGGUUUGAUAUGCCGACCAUGAUUCAUCGCCGCUGAUGCUUUCUGAUUAUCCUACUGGUAAAGUUCACCGAUGAUGGUGGUUCUGCUUUCUCAUUCAUCCAAUCCUAUUGAUUGCUGCUUCACGGUUUUAGGUAAGAGAUUUAUGGCGAUUUGAUGAACAUUUCUGCUUCUUGGUGUUCUGGUAAGAGAUUCAUUACGCUUCAUCAUUUUCUUUCAUUCGGAAUGUUCUGCAAAGGUAAGCAUUAGGGUCGUUUUUUUAUUUCUUCAAUUAGGGCUUCAUUUUCUUAUGAUUAAAUUCUUCUGUUCGUUUAUGUUACAUAUAUAUGUGUCUUAAUUGCCAGGCUACGAGCAAAUGUAAGGGUUUUGAAGAACAUGAAAUUAGGGUUUAGUACUGAUUAGUACCGAUUUGGAUAUGGAAUUAAUUUUAAAUUAAUCCAGUAAUUCAAUCCCUUGAAUCAAAUAUAGAUAUUUAUCAUAUUCUGAUAUUCAUCUUAUCGUUAAUGAGAUGAAUGCUUGGAUUUCAAAAUUCGGUUUCAUUUAGUUAGCGUAACAAGAUAAUUUGCUUAAUGAAAAGUGAGAAGGAAAAGAAGUGAUAGGGUAACUGAAGGAUCUAUUACUAUUGUCCAUUCCAUUUCCGUCUAUUUCCGUGUCUUUUUCAUUCUUAUUACAUAUUUAUAUGUCACUGAACGAUGGGAUAAUGUAUCUAGAGACCAUGCGUUUUUUCAAACAAAUUUGUUAAGGCGACCCAUAUUAAGAAAAAACAACUUUAUUGGCCACAAAAGUUUGUAUAUGUUUUUGUAUAUACCAAUUCCGCAAAACUAAUACUGGAAUAAUAUAAAAUGACAAAAACACCCCUAUUUUUUUACAAACUAAGUUAGUAUCGUAUAAUGAUCGAAAUCUGAAAAGCCACCCUUCUAUCAUUUCUAAGAAGAGAAAUAUGCAUUGUAAUGAAGGAUGUUUUAAGAGUUUUUUUAAAGUUAGAACUGUUUUAGCCAUUUUAUGAUUUUCCGGCACAAAUGUGACCUCAAUUUCUAUAAAGAAAAAAAGUACAUAUUUUCCUGUCAUGUAAGAUUGUUAUUACAAACAGGUCGCCUUAAUGAAAGUCAAUACUUGGAUAGCCUUCACACAUAUUAACUGUGUAUUAACUGUAUAACAUGCUUCAGCUGAUCGUCUUCUUCAUUGCAUUUUAUCUGAUUAACUACUAUUAUGUAUGUGGAAUCGUGGACUGCAAAAAUGGUAUUAGUUUUUUAGAUUUUAAGCUAAAGUAGCAGCCGAAGGUUUAUAAUCCAGUUUCCUUUGCAUUCAUAUAUACUAUCUUCUAUAAAAUUUGAAGAUUAAUGGGCUUUUGUUAAAUUAGCAGCUUUAUUUAAUGGGCUUUUGUGGAAUUAUGGAAUUAUCAUCGAUGAAAAUCAUUGUCCAUCAUUCUACAGCGGUUUUUUAUUUUUUAUUUUGAGUUAUAUAAUCUGCACAUCCUUUCAUGAACUAUCAUGCUUUUGUUUUAUGCAUGAAUUAUCAUACCGUUGUUUUAUGCUUUUCAAGACUCAUAUAAUCCGAUUUGGGUUCCUUAAUCGACAGAUUUGAAGCUCUUUGGGUUUUGGUCAAAGUUGUCAUAUAUACAAUCAAUGAGAUUCAUAUUCAUCGAUCGAUUAAAGAGGAAGAGUACAUCAUCAAAUUGAAGGUAUGAGUUAUGGAUUCCAGUUCUGUUAGUAAUCCUUUCAAAAUGUAUUCAUAUACAGAUUACUGACAACUAUAAAGUUGAUUCCUCUUCACUUUUUGUUGUGUUGGGGAAUUAGGGUUAUGGAACUAUAAAGUGGUAUGAUUUAAUCAUACCAUGUUGUCAUACACAUUUUGAUAGUAAUCCUUUCAAAACUUUAGCAUUUUGAUAUGACAAAUGUUAACUCAUACUAUAAAGUGGUUGAUUCCUCUUCCCUUUUUGCCAUGUGUUUAACAACAUGGUAUGAUUUAUUAAAACUUUGUUUUUUUGU
RNAcentral lists this long non-coding RNA (2232 nucleotides) under Helianthus annuus (common sunflower). RNAcentral describes it as "hypothetical non coding rna". The record is from RNAcentral. Lineage: Eukaryota; Viridiplantae; Streptophyta; Magnoliopsida; Asterales; Asteraceae.